CCUCGGCUCGGGGCCGCCCGCGCCUGCCCCCGGGGCCCACGGCCGUGAUUUGCGCCCCGUGGGUCGUGCAGCGCGGGGGCCACCGUUAGCAGUGCCUUCAAAACGGCGCUGACCGCCCAGGGCCGCGCUCGAGGGUAAAAGCACUGCCAAGUACCCCUAAAUCGCGAGAGGGUAGGGUGCCACCUGGGAAGUAGUUUGUAACUCCUCCAAAUUAGCCUCAGACGACCACAAACAAGAACUUCGGUACAUCCUCCAGCUCUGAUGGCCUUUUCAGAGCUGGGUUAUAGCGAGGGGGGGGUAAUUCUCUGCCUCCACGUUUUGCAAUACCCAUGUAAAACAGGUACAGUGCCAUAAAUUCGGGAGUCUCAGGUAAGUCGGCAUGUGUAGUUGUGUGUACACCUCAGUCCCAGUGUCCUCUUAGGAGCUAAGGCACAAAAGAAGUAAGCAAGCGACCUGACAUGACAAAACAGAACUGGACACCUAAUUGUGGCAGGAGCCUGUUCCUCCUUCUGAGGGCCACAGGAGGGAAUAUAUCCCCUCCAACAGCACACCAACCCCGGAGCAGGUAGCACUGUUUAUCAAACACAGCAGUGGGCACAGUUCACCUGAUAAAAAUCUCCCAGGGAGCUCUGCGUGCCUGUCUCUAACAGUCACACAGGCCAGGCACUGUCAGAUUUGAGAAGGAAGCUUAAGGAACACCAUUGGCUGUCUAUAUACAAACACUGCAGAUGCUCCCUUGGAGCAGCCCAGAAAGCCCGACUGUAUUUUCAGCCCUUGGCUCUGCUCUAGAAAUGUUGUUCCUGCUCUGCUGACAAUCAGAGUAUGCUGGCUGCAAAUUACCAAUAGAUCCCCACCUCCUACCACAGCCCCACACCCUCGGAGGGAGAGGGAGCAGGCACACUGGGAGACUGGCCAGCACAGCCAACACAGCCAUUGACACCGAAUGCCCAACAGUUUUGUAACUACAGUGGAUUUACCUCUCAAGCAGCCAGUCAUCAGUGUGCUGCUCUACACACCGACUGGAGGCCAGCAGAAAGUCACUUCUGUAUUGCCAACGCUGUAGAGCAAACAAACUCCAUUGUCUGAAGCUAUAUUCAUUUGAAGAGGACAGCUGGGAUCUUUCUGCCUAUGUUUCUCUAAAUUAGUGCAGAUUGAGUCACUUUAUUUGUGAGCAUACACAACUGCAUGGUUAUAGGUCAUUCCAACCUGGUGUACAGAGCAGGGGACAGCAGCUAGGCGAGGUGGAGCGGCUUGUGCUUACACAGGAUUCUCCAGUGCUGUUCUGGGUGUCUGAGCUCCCCACAAACCCACUCCUUGAAGAAAACCUGCUCCUGAUUUGGGAGCUGCAGAGCAGAUGUGUACUAUUCCACACAUGUUUUCCCUGCCAGUUAAGCAUAAGCAAAUGACAUUCUUUUUGUGUCCACCUGAACUAUCCUGAAGCUAUCUAGGGCUCCAAGACACUGACCAAAAUACAGUCUGAGUUACUGAGUUGCUGCAGUUGGUAAAGGCACCACACAGGCUCUCAGAGCACUGAUUGCACUCACAUUUCUAGCCCAAUGUUACCCAAACUGUGCUGAGUUACACAGCAACACCUGUUUGCAUCAUAAACAUCAGGAAUCAGCAGAGCUCAGCUGCAUCAUCUAACCUCAAAACAACCCGACUUGUGUUUAAAUACUGUGUAAGGCCUAAUCCAUCACUGCUGUUUUAUUUGACCAAACUUCCCUUGAAUGACAACAUAUUUUCACUCUGUUUUUCUGGAAGCUCAUGCUACAGCAACACAAGGCUGUUCACUUACAGCUUGUGCUUGGGGCUAGUAAAAUGUCACAUAAUUGAGUUUUCUUUAUUUGCUUUUCUUAUUAGAUCUAUGUGCCCUGUGCCAAGGGCUAUGAAGUGUUGAAGCAGCCUUCUCGAGAUGAGUAUUUUCACAGAUCCAAAAGCAUGCAAUGCUGCUGGAGGAACUUGAUGAAUACUCAAGUAGAUUAAGUGACCUUAAUUGCUUACUUGGACACGACCAGCAUUAAACAGCUUUUAAAAGCCAUUAGGAGCUAUCCAUAAUCUUUUUA
Long non-coding RNA from Colius striatus (speckled mousebird), 2063 nucleotides. RefSeq lists it as uncharacterized. The transcript is spliced from 3 exons. Lineage: Eukaryota; Metazoa; Chordata; Aves; Coliiformes; Coliidae. The record is from RefSeq and is a predicted model, not a curated record.